AGAACGGCUGCAGAGAACAACAGAUAUGGACGAGUGGAUUUCUUUAUUAUGCCGCUGAACAUUUGCAGUUGCACAGAUGAGUCCGACCCUGCGGCGGUGGUGCAGAAUCGGCUGCUCAGCUCCCCUGUAACCAGUUUACGGAUCAAACCUAGACCCUUCAUCCUGCUCGACCACCUGUUACUUCCACCCUGUUUCAAUCACUCCGGCAGACGCUCAGCUGCAGCUAUCGAACUGCAUAUCGCUCAUCAAUAACCCCCCACAGAAGGGAAGAUAUGAAAGCUGGGAGCGCUUAAGAAGGAGCACACGGUAAACCCACCUUUCAUGAGGAGGCUGAGAUCGCUUUUGAUGGCUCUCUGAGAUGCCUCAGUCGAGUCGCAUCAAGAGCCAUUUUAGCACAAAGGAACAAAAGCCGCAGCG
Long non-coding RNA from Gasterosteus aculeatus aculeatus (three-spined stickleback), 417 nucleotides. The record is from Ensembl. NCBI's taxonomy places the organism in Eukaryota, Metazoa, Chordata, Actinopteri, Perciformes, Gasterosteidae.